GCGGGUGCACCGCCGACC
This 18-nucleotide small nuclear RNA is filed under the name Arabidopsis thaliana (thale cress). Its description in RNAcentral is "snRNA_07993". Lineage: Eukaryota; Viridiplantae; Streptophyta; Magnoliopsida; Brassicales; Brassicaceae. The record is from RNAcentral.